RNAcentral lists this long non-coding RNA (514 nucleotides) under Olea europaea subsp. europaea. The record is from RNAcentral. Lineage: Eukaryota; Viridiplantae; Streptophyta; Magnoliopsida; Lamiales; Oleaceae.
AAAUAUGAACAAGAAUAGAAUUCAAAUUUUUAUAUAUUAUGACGUGAUAAUUUCAUUCAUCAAGUUCACGUUAAAGUAGAACCAGCAGCAAGCUUAUACUCUGUUAAAGAUAGAAAUAUUUUAUAGAAUAUUGUCCAUUAUAUUUCCUUUUAGUGUAAGAUUAUUUUUGUUUUACAUUUAUUUCUUUUUAUUGUUAUUCAUAAUCCUAUAAAUAAGUUUCUCUUCUUUGUACUAUUUACAAGACCAUUAAUAGUACAAUUUACAAUAUUCUUGACAUGGUAACAGAGUAGGUUUAACUUGAUUUUGGGUUAAACUUACAAGCUUCCAUUUUCCGGCAAGCGGUCUCAUGUCACUUGUCCGUUCAAAUAUUUUUCUUUUUUUUUUUUUCCUUGCUAGCGGCCGGUCAAAUAUUUUUUGUUUUUUGUCUUGCUCCCGUCCGAUUUUCUCAUCAAAAUUUCCACAAAAUUAAGUGUCCCCAGACUUCCAAAAUUUCAUUCAAGAUUAAGGGAGCAGN